GCAUUGUGUAGUGGGACCUCGGCUCACC
RNAcentral lists this non-coding RNA (28 nucleotides) under Mus musculus (house mouse). The record is from RNAcentral. Lineage: Eukaryota; Metazoa; Chordata; Mammalia; Rodentia; Muridae.